UGCUUGGGUAGCUCAGUUGGUAGAGCGUUUGCCCGCGGAAGCAAAGGUCCCGAGUUCGAGUCUCGGUCCGGCAC
RNAcentral lists this transfer RNA (74 nucleotides) under Schistocerca americana (American grasshopper). Its description in RNAcentral is "tRNA-Arg". It matches the Rfam family "tRNA". Rfam says of the family: Transfer RNA (tRNA) molecules are approximately 80 nucleotides in length. Their secondary structure includes four short double-helical elements and three loops (D, anti-codon, and T loops). Further hydrogen bonds mediate the characteristic L-shaped molecular structure. tRNAs have two regions of fundamental functional importance: the anti-codon, which is responsible for specific mRNA codon recognition, and the 3' end, to which the tRNAs corresponding amino acid is attached (by aminoacyl-tRNA synthetases). tRNAs cope with the degeneracy of the genetic code in two manners: having more than one tRNA (with a specific anti-codon) for a particular amino acid; and 'wobble' base-pairing, i.e. permitting non-standard base-pairing at the 3rd anti-codon position. Lineage: Eukaryota; Metazoa; Arthropoda; Insecta; Orthoptera; Acrididae. The record is from RNAcentral.